CGGCCCCGCAAGUCCAUCGGGAAAUCCAACCGCCCAACGGUUGGGCGUCCGGUGGAAACUGCGUGGCUUGGGACCGGAAGGCUCGAGGGGUACGUCCGGGGUAGGAGUGAAAUCCCGUAAUCCUGGACGGACCACCGAUGGCGAAAGCACCUCGAGAGAACGGAUCCGACGGUGAGGGACGAAAGCUGGGGUCUCGAACCGGAUUAGAUACCCGGGUAGUCCCAGCCGUAAACGAUGCCAGUUAGGUGUGGCGCAGGCUACGAGCCUGCGCUGUGCCGUAGGGAAGCCGUGAAACUGGCCGCCUGGGAA
RNAcentral lists this ribosomal RNA (309 nucleotides) under uncultured archaeon. RNAcentral describes it as "bacterial SSU rRNA". It matches the Rfam family "Archaeal small subunit ribosomal RNA", at positions 526 to 834 of the family's 1478-position model. The record is from RNAcentral.